UACGGAGGGAGCUGGCGUUGUUCGGAAUUACUGAGCGUAAAGCGCACGUAGGCGGCGAUUCAAGUCAGAGGUGAAAGCCCGGGGCUCAACCCCGGAACUGCCUUUGAAACUAGAUUGCUAGAAUCCUGGAGAGGUGAGUGGAAUUCCGAGUGUAGAGGUGAAAUUCGUAGAUAUUCGGAAGAACACCAGUGGCGAAGGCGACUCACUGGACAGGUAUUGACGCUGAGGUGCGAAAGCGUGGGGAGCAAACAGG
This 253-nucleotide ribosomal RNA is filed under the name uncultured bacterium. Its description in RNAcentral is "partial 16S ribosomal RNA". It matches the Rfam family "Bacterial small subunit ribosomal RNA", at positions 524 to 776 of the family's 1533-position model. The record is from RNAcentral.